AGCACAGGGUUUGGGGAGGGGAGGUCACCGCCCUCUGUCCUGAGUCUGGGGCUUGUCUCUACUCGCUGCCCCCCGCCUUUCCCUGGAGAGUCCCCGGCUUGUCUUCACUCCAGCUGCUGGCUCCACUUGCCCUUGGCGCCCAGCUCACCACCUCCUCCUGCCUCUAGGCCUGUAAGUGGACCACUCCCUCUGCAGUGCUCAAGGUAGGUGCCCAGACUGCCUGCCGAUGGGCACUCCCUCCCCAGCCCAGUGUGGAGGGAAGGCCAGGGGACCUCCAGAGCCCCCUCUGCUCUGCAUGUGGGGAGCAGUGAGGGAGACAGAGGCAGGGCUGGGCCCCUCAGCCUCUGGGGGGCAGGUAGAGGCGGGGAGGGCCUCCCUCCAUCACUGGGAGAGAAACAGAAGGGGAAGCAACAUGCAUUGAUAAGACAGGGUAGGCGGGGCUGGCCUGGCAGCACUCACCUGCUCUCUGGAGACGGAGAUAGACAGGACCUCCUGGAGGGAGUCCCCCGGAUGGAACUGUAGGAUGUCAGCCAGCAUCUGCUUGGUGCUACAGGAGGACGGGGGUGAGUUGGGAGGGGCAGGGCCUGGCUGGACAGCGAGAGUAAGUGGACCCUGGCUGUAUCCCAGCUGCCAAGGAGGCUCGGGAGAGAGAUAAGAGACCCAGUGAGAGGGGUUUUGGGGGAACCAACCCUGGAGGGUGCUGAUCAUGCAGAAGCCCCCACAGCCCUGCAGACACCGUUUCCUCGGAGUUCUGUGUCCUCUGCUUCAUGCCCCCUCCCCAAACUGGCUUCCUCUGAGUCCUCACCAGACCUUUCCCAACCAAGGUGUCCCUUCAGGUGCACCUGCUCAGCACCCCCGACACCCCCUCCCUCUUGGUGGCUCUCUGUAAGCCCUUGGGGUGGCAGGACCAAGGAGCACACACCCCGCCGGCUCUCGGGUCUAUCGGUGCUGCAGGGAGGGCUUGCUCCUCCUGGAGCGGACCUCACCCACCUCAGCAGCAGGUUCUGGGCAGUGGUGUCAUCAGCGCCUGUCUUCACCCCUUCAAACUUGUUGCUGAGGGUCAGGGACACUUCCAGCCUGCUCAGAUCCUCGGUCCCAUCUGCAGCUACGUUCUCCCCUGAGAUUUAGAGAGAGGGAGAGAGACAGACACACACACACACACACACACACACACACACACACACACACACACACGGGAUCACGGUAAAUAUUCCAGGCUUCUUCCCAGAAGGCCCCCCAGCCCCCCACCCUGCCCUCACCCCUGAGCACCUCAGAAAGUCUGUCUCCCACAGAGCUGUGUCCUGGGAAUGGGCCUCCCCUGACCCCUCCGCCCUUGCUGUCCUGGCAGUGCCUGCACCUGAGCUUGGAGUACCCUGUGCCCUCUUGUGCCCACCAUCUUCACCACACCUCCCUCUUCCUCCUCCCCACCUCCUUAGAUCCUGAAAUCCCUCCUCCCCAGAGAAACCGUUUGAGAUGAGACAGCGUGCAGAAUUGCUCAGCCCAGGCCAAGGGGCCCGUCCCCCUCCCAUCCAUCUCAAGCCUCUAUCGCUUGCCCCUUUGGGCAACCAGGCCGGGUCCGCCUGUCCACCCUCUCCAGAGAGGACAAGACCCUGCGAGGGCACGCUAACAGGCUCUGCCCGCGAGCUGGCCCUCCCUCUUCUCCCCCACCGGCCCUAGCUGCCAGGGGGCACACACCAAGGAGGUCAGGGACCGAGGGCAGCUCCCCGAGGUCGUCCAGCAGCUCGUGCAGGGGGUCGUGGUGGUCAGGGGCGAUCCAGUCCUGGUGCUCCAGCAACAACUGCGAGGAGGGCAAAGGAGGGUCUGAGGCGGCCACCGUGGACUCUCCCGCCCACCCCCCGCCCUCACCAGGCUGCAGCCCUCACCCUGUGUGUGCUGACCAGCUCCCCCACUGUGAUGUACACCACGGGCCUGUCCAGAGCCACUGUGUCCGAGUAUUCGUCCACUGCAAACCGCUCUUCUGGCUCCGGCACCUGGCAGGCCCGGCACAGGAACCUCCUGCCCCACAGGGAGCCGUGUGAGUACGCACAGCCCUGUUCUGGCCCCAGAUCCCCGUCUCAGCUCUUGCCUUGCCUCUUGAUCUCAACAGCUCACGAGCCAACUUCCACCAGCUCCGUGCACUCCUCCGGGUGGUCCCCCCAGCAACCUGCCCUCCAGUCGAUGCCCCGCCCCUCGGUGGAUUCUGAGAGAGGGACGCCAGGAGCCCAGACCUGAACUUGAGGACAGCCCCGAGGGCUCUGUGGCUGCCGCCCCUGCCAGCGACCACCAAGCAGCUCCCAGGGCCCUGCUGUGGGCCAGACGCAGGAGGCAAACUGGUGAGCUGAGAGGAGGUGCCGCAAGCCCCAGCCCUGACCCCACACUAACCAGCCAGACCUUCCCAUUCCUUCCCCUCUGCCAGGCCUAGGAAGUGCUUGGCCGAGGAACGCUUCUGGCCCGCCUUAUCCCACAGGGCCUUGGAGGGCACCGGGAUGGCCAGGAGCGGAGGAAGCAGUGGACACUGGCCGAGUGCUAUUCAAAUACUUGAUACUUCCCCUUCUUUCUAGUGUUGAUCGGCCGCCGCCAAAGGUACUAGAGACAGGUGCUUAUGGCUAGCUCCUUGUGUCCUGUUCUUUGCUUGGUCUGGGGCCGCCUUCCCCAACCCCAAUUGCAAAGCCUCAGACCGCUUCUCCGGACUGAUUUGCAAAGCUGAGUAUCAGUCUUGGGGUGGGGGGCUUCUCUCACCAGCACCCCUCCCCCAGCGGCCCUGACCACCAGGAGCGCUGGCUGGCGAGUGGAACCAGGUGAUGGCCCCCUUGCUAGAUUUCCAUUCUUUUGAAAAUCACUUGUUGGCUAAAGGCUAGGACUAUUGGCACAUCGUCAACCUUGAAGUGGGAGACCGGUCGGGUGGGGUGUAACGACGUGGGCAAGAUAUAGCAGAUGACCCUUGGUUUCCUGGUCCGUGCAGUGGGGGCAGCACUGCCCAGGCCUUAGGUCCUGGCAUUCUCGUGAGAACAUCGUGACCGCAGCAGCAGCUGACCAGCUGCCCCCUCCGCAUGCUGGUGCCGUCGCGCUCCCGCCCGGCAGCCAGCCCAGGGAAGGAGAGGGACCUAAGUGCUCUACCGGUCUGGUGCACGUUCAUUUUUGGCUCUGUGGACCCAAGAGUGCUUAUUUUCCCCCAUCUGCUUUCAAUCACGUGUCCUUGUGACCACGUGAGGGCUGCCUUCUCAGGCGCCAGUCAUGUCCUUUGAGCUACGAACAGCCCAGCCUCAGCCAGGGGCUCCACUGCGUCCCCCGCCCCCGCCCGCCGAGUACGCACGGGAUCUGGUCCACGGAUGACAUGAUGGCCACAAGAAACUUCUCGGUCACAGCGAGGAGGUUGCGUAUGGAGAUGUCUAGUCGUCUCUGGACCUCGGGGUGGCUCAAGGCCUGCUCCGGGGUGACCUCAUAGGGGAGGUGGCUGUGGGCCAGAGGGGACAUCAGCCAGAGCCCUCUCCCACGGCGCCCCUUCCCAGGCCCAUCCUUUAAACUCCCACUGCAGGCUCUGGUGCUCUAAGGGCAGCCCAGCCUCAGAGACCUGGAGAUGGGGUGAAAGGGGAAGGGCUGGGGAGGCCAGAGGGAGGUGGGUGGGCACAGGAAAGCAUGGGGAACCGGAAAGUUGUGGGAGGACCCCUCUGAGGCCCAGGAGGGACAGGGCCCGUGGCACCUAGCCUGUGGGGGGAUGGGCAGGAGGGAAGACAGGCCCUAUGGCCAAGAAUCUGGCCCUACCCAGAGUGGCCCCAGACAGGCAGCCCUCCUGGGCAGCUCCAUUUCACCCUCAGGGAGCAGGAGGUACCCUACUCUCGAAGGCCGGCCUCAGGAGCCUGGGGCCCCAUGGGAGACGCACGGGGCCGCUACACUCAGGGCAGGUGGUUCACACUCAGGAGCCCCUCCACAGGAGGGAGGAGGGGCUGUCUACUGCCGCAAAGGCCUAGGCUCAGAAAACUGACGUGGGGUUUCCUAUGAGCUGGGACUGGCCAGCCUGCUUCUCCCUCGAUCUCAUUUGCCUAUUCAUCUGUAAGCCUGAAUAUUCAUCCAUACACCGAUCAAUAAAGAGUGCUUAUCCCCA
Long non-coding RNA from Echinops telfairi (small Madagascar hedgehog), 4102 nucleotides. RefSeq lists it as uncharacterized. The transcript is spliced from 2 exons. NCBI's taxonomy places the organism in Eukaryota, Metazoa, Chordata, Mammalia, Afrosoricida, Tenrecidae. The record is from RefSeq and is a predicted model, not a curated record.